Molecule: ribosomal RNA, 253 nt
Filed under: uncultured bacterium
Lineage: Bacteria
Description: partial 16S ribosomal RNA
Rfam family: Bacterial small subunit ribosomal RNA
Source: RNAcentral
UACGUAGGGUGCGAGCGUUAAUCGGAAUUACUGGGCGUAAAGCGUGCGCAGGCGGUUUUGUAAGCCAGAUGUGAAAUCCCCGGGCUUAACCUGGGAAUGGCAUUUGGGACUGCAAGGCUGGAGUGCGGCAGAGGAGACUGGAAUUCCUGGUGUAGCAGUGAAAUUCGUAGAUAUCGAGAGGAACACCGGUGGCGAAGGCGGCCUUCUGGACAGUGACUGACGCUGAGACGCGAAAGCGUGGGGAGCGAACAGG